UGAGAAGAACAGAGUUAAAGAAUAUAGUCCCAUGGGAAAAGAAGCCCAUCAUUGACUGAUAAACCAAGGAGAUUCUAUUUGCUUUACAGAAGGAGCUACUGAAAGGCUAGCUGUGGUUUAUAAAUCUUUUAGUCUUAUCCUGACAUAGUAGCAGCACUUGAAUGCUGACCUUGAAAUAAAAAGCACUGUGCUCUGUGUGGAAUUCAAGUAGAGAUAUUUCCAUAUAACCUGAUGUUACUUAUAUAUUUUGUCUAUUUUAACCAGCGAGAAAGAAUGAGAGAGAAAGCAUUAAUAAGAGCUAUGUAGAAGAGGUGGCAUAGAGCCUGAAAGGACUUGGAAGGAUGAUUCUAAUUGCAAACAGUUCAAAUAAAGAUAUUUUGGCAAAUCUG
Long non-coding RNA from Homo sapiens (human), 389 nucleotides. Lineage: Eukaryota; Metazoa; Chordata; Mammalia; Primates; Hominidae. The record is from Ensembl.